This 400-nucleotide unclassified non-coding RNA is filed under the name soil metagenome. Its description in RNAcentral is "partial contains 5.8S ribosomal RNA, internal transcribed spacer 2, and large subunit ribosomal RNA". The stretch from base 1 to 122 matches the Rfam family "5.8S ribosomal RNA", at positions 35 to 154 of the family's 154-position model. The record is from RNAcentral.
GAUGAAGAACGUAGCGAAAUGCGAUACUUGGUGUGAAUUGCAGAAUCCUGUGAACCAUCGAGUCUUUGAACGCAAGUUGCGCCUCAAGCCAUUAGGUUGAGGGUACGUCUGCCUGGGCGUCACAUAUCGUUGCCUGAUGCCAGUUUCCUCGUGAUGGGUGACUGUGCAGGGCGAAUGAUGGCUUCCCGUGAGCAUUGUUGCCUCAUGGUUGGUUGAAAAUUGAGUCCUUGGUAGGGAGCGCCGUGAUAGAUGGUGGUUGAGUGACGAACGAGACCCAAUCAUGUGAGACCCCUACCGAAUUUGGCCUUCAUGACCCACAUGCGUCUUUGGAACGCUCAUGACGAGACCUCAGGUCAGGCGGGGCUACCCGCUGAGUUUAAGCAUAUCAAUAAGCGGAGGA